Myotis davidii is the source of this 35-nucleotide non-coding RNA. The record is from Rfam. Lineage: Eukaryota; Metazoa; Chordata; Mammalia; Chiroptera; Vespertilionidae.
CUGUCUCUUGUUUCAAUAGUGUUUGGAUGGAACAG